This 20-nucleotide non-coding RNA is filed under the name Mus musculus (house mouse). RNAcentral also lists the same sequence under 1 other name. Lineage: Eukaryota; Metazoa; Chordata; Mammalia; Rodentia; Muridae. The record is from RNAcentral.
AAUGGUGUCCAUACAGGUAG